RNAcentral lists this ribosomal RNA (252 nucleotides) under uncultured prokaryote. RNAcentral describes it as "partial 16S ribosomal RNA". It matches the Rfam family "Bacterial small subunit ribosomal RNA", at positions 523 to 774 of the family's 1533-position model. The record is from RNAcentral.
AUACAGAGGUCCCAAGCGUUGUUCGGAUUCACUGGGCGUAAAGGGUGCGUAGGCGGUCGGGUAAGUCUGACGUGAAAUCUUCAAGCUCAACUUGGAAACUGCGUCGGAUACUAUUCGGCUGGAGGAAUGGAGGGGAGACUGGAAUACUUGGUGUAGCAGUGAAAUGCGUAGAUAUCAAGUGGAACACCAGUGGCGAAGGCGAGUCUCUGGACAUUUCCUGACGCUGAGGCACGAAAGCCAGGGGAGCAAACG